CCUACGGGAGGCAGCAGUAGGGAAUCUUCCACAAUGGGCGAAAGCCUGAUGGAGCAACGCCGCGUGGGUGAAGAAGGUCUUCGGAUCGUAAAACCCUGUUGUUAGAGAAGAAAGUGCGUGAGAGUAACUGUUCACGUUUCGACGGUAUCUAACCAGAAAGCCACGGCUAACUACGUGCCAGCAGCCGCGGUAAUACGUAGGUGGCAAGCGUUAUCCGGAUUUAUUGGGCGUAAAGGGAACGCAGGCGGUCUUUUAAGUCUGAUGUGAAAGCCUUCGGCUUAACCGGAGUAGUGCAUUGGAAACUGGGUGACGUGAGUGCAGAAGAGGAGAGUGGAACUCCAUGUGGAGCGGUGAAAUGCGUAGAUAUAUGGAAGAACACCAGUGGCGAAGGCGGCUCUCUGGUCUGUAACUGACGCUGAGGUUCGAAAGCGUGGGUAGCAAACAGGAUUAGAUACCCUUGUAGUC
RNAcentral lists this ribosomal RNA (465 nucleotides) under uncultured bacterium. RNAcentral describes it as "partial 16S ribosomal RNA". It matches the Rfam family "Bacterial small subunit ribosomal RNA", at positions 338 to 795 of the family's 1533-position model. The record is from RNAcentral.